CGCAGGGUCCCGCUCGAGUUCGAAGCCCUGUGAACCCCGUCAGGCCCGGAAGGGUGCAGCGGUAGCGGGGCGACGGCGGCGAGUGGGGGUGCCCUGCGGUC
RNAcentral lists this signal recognition particle RNA (101 nucleotides) under Myxococcota bacterium. RNAcentral describes it as "signal recognition particle sRNA small type". It matches the Rfam family "Bacterial small signal recognition particle RNA". From Rfam's summary of the family: The signal recognition particle (SRP) is a universally conserved ribonucleoprotein involved in the co-translational targeting of proteins to membranes. Archaeal SRP consists of a 7S RNA and homologues of the eukaryotic SRP19 and SRP54 proteins. The record is from RNAcentral. Lineage: Bacteria; Pseudomonadati; Myxococcota.